RNAcentral lists this ribosomal RNA (1007 nucleotides) under uncultured Campylobacterota bacterium. Its description in RNAcentral is "bacterial SSU rRNA". It matches the Rfam family "Bacterial small subunit ribosomal RNA", at positions 505 to 1501 of the family's 1533-position model. Lineage: Bacteria; Pseudomonadati; Campylobacterota. The record is from RNAcentral.
GUGCCAGCCGCCGCGGUAAUACGGAGGGUGCAAGCGUUACUCGGAAUCACUGGGCGUAAAGGGCGCGUAGGCGGCUUGGUAAGUUGGAUGUGAAAGCCCACGGCUCAACCGUGGAACUGCGUCCAAAACUGCCAGGCUAGAGUCCGGGAGAGGCAGAUGGAAUUGGUGGUGUAGGGGUAAAAUCCGUAGAGAUCACCAGGAAUACCCAUUGCGAAGGCGAUCUGCUGGAACGGUACUGACGCUGAGGCGCGAAAGCGUGGGGAGCAAACAGGAUUAGAUACCCUGGUAGUCCACGCCCUAAACGAUGGAUGCUAGUCGUUGGGAAGCUAGUCUUCCCAGUGAUGCAGCUAACGCAUUAAGCAUCCCGCCUGGGGAGUACGGCCGCAAGGCUAAAACUCAAAGGAAUAGACGGGGACCCGCACAAGCGGUGGAGCAUGUGGUUUAAUUCGAAGAUACGCGAAGAACCUUACCUGGGCUUGACAUCCCUGGAAUCCCUCAGAGAUGGGGGAGUGCCUCCUUAUGGAGGAGCCAGGUGACAGGUGCUGCACGGCUGUCGUCAGCUCGUGCCGUGAGGUGUUCGGUUAAGUCCGGCAACGAGCGCAACCCCUGCCGCUAGUUACUAACGGGUAAAGCCGAGGACUCUAGCGGGACUGCCCGUGUUAAGCGGGAGGAAGGAGGGGACGACGUCAAGUCCGUAUGGCCCUUAUGCCCAGGGCUGCACACGUGCUACAAUGGGCGGUACAGAGGGUUGCGAAUCCGCAAGGAGGAGCUAAUCCCAGAAAACCGCCCCCAGUUCGGAUUGCGCUCUGCAACUCGAGCGCAUGAAGUCGGAAUCGGUAGUAAAGGCGCAUCAGCUACGGCGCCUUGAAUACGUUCCCGGGUCCUGUACACACCGCCCGUCGCAUCACGGGAGCUGGCUGCACCAGAAGUCACCUUACCCAACCGGCGACGGAGGGGGGUGCCCAGGGUGUGGCUGGUGACUGGGAUGAAGUCGUAACAAGGUAGCC